GACGAACGCUGGCGGCGUGCUUAACACAUGCAAGUCGAACGGUGAAGGGGUCUGCUUUUGUGGGCGCUGGCUGAGUGGCGAACGGGUGAGUAACACGUUAGUAACCUGCCCCCUUCUUCUGGAUAACCGCAUGAAAGUGUGGCUAAUACGGGAUAUUCUGGGUCUGUCGCAUGAUGGGUCUGGGAAAGAUUGCGCCUUUGGGUGUUUUUGGUGGGGGAUGGGCUCGCGGGCUAUCAGCUUGGUAGGGGGGUGAUGGCCUACCCAGACGGUUACGGGUAGCCGGACUGAGAGGGUGGAAGGUCACACUGGAACUGGGACACGGCCCAGACUACUAAGGGAGGCAGCAGUGGGGAAUAUUGGACAAUGGUCGGAAGUAUGAUGCAGCGACGGCGCGUGAGGGAUGGAGGCGUUCGGGUUGUAAUCCUCUUUUGAGAGUGAAGCAGGCCUGCUCCUUGUGGGUGGGUUGACGGUAGCUGGAGAUGAAGCGCCGGCUAACUACGUG
RNAcentral lists this ribosomal RNA (502 nucleotides) under uncultured bacterium. RNAcentral's name for it is "partial 16S ribosomal RNA". It matches the Rfam family "Bacterial small subunit ribosomal RNA", at positions 28 to 507 of the family's 1533-position model. The record is from RNAcentral.